This 254-nucleotide ribosomal RNA is filed under the name uncultured bacterium. RNAcentral's name for it is "partial 16S ribosomal RNA". It matches the Rfam family "Archaeal small subunit ribosomal RNA", at positions 474 to 727 of the family's 1478-position model. The record is from RNAcentral.
UACCGGCAGCUCAAGUGGUGGCCGCUUUUAUUGGGCCUAAAGCGUUCGUAGCCGGCCUGAUAAGUCUCUGGUGAAAUCCCGCAGCUUAACUGUGGGAAUUGCUGGAGAUACUAUCAGGCUUGAGGCCGGGAGAGGCUGGAGGAACUUCCAGGGUAGGGGUGAAAUCCUAUAAUCCUGGGAGGACCACCUGUGGCGAAGGCGUCCAGCUGGAACGGACCUGACGGUGAGUAACGAAAGCCAGGGGCGCGAACCGG